This 419-nucleotide long non-coding RNA is filed under the name Vitis vinifera (wine grape). RNAcentral describes it as "long non-coding RNA (VVIN_LNC000752)". The record is from RNAcentral. Lineage: Eukaryota; Viridiplantae; Streptophyta; Magnoliopsida; Vitales; Vitaceae.
CGCCUUCUCUCGUCAAACCCAUGCGCCCCCAAUUCCGGAAACCCUAGUAAAUGAAGGAACCCCAAUUCCAUCUCAAACCCUGGUUCCGUCUCAAGCACUUGGUCCAAAUUCAGGAGAAACCCUAAUUCAAUCUCAAACCUUGGAUCCAAAUUCAGGAGAAGCCCAAACCCUACCUAUGACGAAACGUGUCAUGGAAGAAACCCCAAUUCCGUCUGAAACCCUGGUUUCAAAUUCCGAAAGAAAAGAGACCCUACUUGAAUCUCAGACCCUAGCUCCUUUGGCACAAGCAAAUCCUCACGAGCCUAAAGAAUAUGGGUCCCUGGUGUCAGAUUCAAAGAAAAACGAAACCCAGGAAUUUUCGGGUGCAACAAGCAUGGAUGUUGAGGGUGGUGUUGCUGCUGCUGAUGAAGAUGAUGAGC